AUACGUAGGGGGCGAGCGUUGUCCGGAAUGAUUGGGCGUAAAGGGCGCGUAGGCGGCCUGUUAAGUCUGGAGUGAAAGUCCUGUUUUCAAGAUGGGAAUUGCUUUGGAUACUGAUGGGCUUGAGUGCAGGAGAGGUUAUCGGAAUUCCCGGUGUAGCGGUGAAAUGCGUAGAGAUCGGGAGGAACACCAGUGGCGAAGGCGGGUAACUGGACUGCAGCUGACGCUGAUGCGCGAAAGUGUGGGGAGCAAACAGGAUUAGAUACCCUGGUAGUCCACGCUGUAAACGAUGAAUGCUAGGUGUAAGAGGUAUCGACCCCUUUUGUGCCGGAGUUAACACAAUAAGCAUUCCGCCUGGGGAGUACGGCCGCAAGGUUGAAACUCAAAGGAAUUGACGGGG
This 397-nucleotide ribosomal RNA is filed under the name uncultured bacterium. RNAcentral's name for it is "partial 16S ribosomal RNA". It matches the Rfam family "Bacterial small subunit ribosomal RNA", at positions 523 to 918 of the family's 1533-position model. The record is from RNAcentral.